GGGACACGUGGUAUCCUGUCUGAAUAUGGGGGGACCAUCCUCCAAGGCUAAAUACUCCUGACUGACCGAUAGUGAACCAGUACCGUGAGGGAAAGGCGAAAAGAACCCCGGCGAGGGGAGUGAAAAAGAACCUGAAACCGUGUACGUACAAGCAGUGGGAGCACGCUUAGGCGUGUGACUGCGUACCUUUUGUAUAAUGGGUCAGCGACUUAUAUUCUGUAGCAAGGUUAACCGAAUAGGGGAGCCGAAGGGAAACCGAGUCUUAACUGGGCGUUAAGUUGCAGGGUAUAGACCCGAAACCCGGUGAUCUAGCCAUGGGCAGGUUGAAGGUUGGGUAACACUAACUGGAGGACCGAACCGACUAAUGUUGAAAAAUUAGCGGAUGACUUGUGGCUGGGGGUGAAAGGCCAAUCAAACCGGGAGAUAGCUGGUUCUCCCCGAAAGCUAUUUAGGUAGCGCCUCGUGAAUUCAUCUCCGGGGGUAGAGCACUGUUUCGGCAAGGGGGUCAUCCCGACUUACCAACCCGAUGCAAACUGCGAAUACCGGAGAAUGUUAUCACGGGAGACACACGGCGGGUGCUAACGUCCGUCGUGAAGAGGGAAACAACCCAGACCGCCAGCUAAGGUCCCAAAGUCAUGGUUAAGUGGGAAACGAUGUGGGAAGGCCCAGACAGCCAGGAUGUUGGCUUAGAAGCAGCCAUCAUUUAAAGAAAGCGUAAUAGCUCACUGGUCGAGUCGGCCUGCGCGGAAGAUGUAACGGGGCUAAACCAUGCACCGAAGCUGCGGCAGCGACACUAUGUGUUGUUGGGUAGGGGAGCGUUCUGUAAGCCUGUGAAGGUGUGCUGUGAGGCAUGCUGGAGGUAUCAGAAGUGCGAAUGCUGACAUAAGUAACGAUAAAGCGGGUGAAAAGCCCGCUCGCCGGAAGACCAAGGGUU
RNAcentral lists this ribosomal RNA (934 nucleotides) under Escherichia coli. RNAcentral's name for it is "partial 23S ribosomal RNA". It matches the Rfam family "Bacterial large subunit ribosomal RNA", at positions 419 to 1353 of the family's 2925-position model. The record is from RNAcentral. Lineage: Bacteria; Pseudomonadati; Pseudomonadota; Gammaproteobacteria; Enterobacterales; Enterobacteriaceae.